Molecule: RNA transcript, 471 nt
Organism: Cynocephalus volans (Philippine flying lemur)
Lineage: Eukaryota; Metazoa; Chordata; Mammalia; Dermoptera; Cynocephalidae
Gene: ATP5MK
Gene name: ATP synthase membrane subunit k
Exons: 5
Source: RefSeq, a predicted model, not a curated record
UGUGGCUGUAGAACGUCUGCGGGGAGGGGCCUUCUUCCGGUCGGGCCGAGGGGCGGCUGUGUACGUUGAAGGACACCGUCUGCGGAAUUUGUGGCUUUGGCCAGAUUGAAAUCAUGGCAGGUGCAGAAAAUGAUGCCCAAUUCCAGUUCACUGGUAUUAAAAAAUAUUUCAACUCUUACACUCUCACAGGUAGAAUGAACUGUGUACUGGCCACAUAUGGAAGCAUUGCUUUGAUAUUCUUAUACUUCAAGUUAAGGUCUAAAAAAACUCCAGCUGUGAAAGCAACAUAAAUGGUUAAAAUCCUUUCCCAAAGGAUUGUGGUACACCCAGAUGUGUAAGACAGUGUGUCUUUUGCCGCAGCCAAUGUGAUUCUAAACUGUACCUCACCUGUUAAGUUCCCAUGCCUGGAGAAGCUAUUGUCAACUCAUCCUGUGAUAGUCAAUUUGUACAAUAAAUUAUGAACCUGGAAAA